CUACGGGUGGCUGCAGUGGGGAAUAUUGCACAAUGGAGGAAACUCUGAUGCAGCAACGCCGCGUGGAGGAUGACACUUUUCGGGGCGUAAACUCCUUUUAUAUAGGAAGAAGAUGACGGUACUAUAUGAAUAAGCGCCGGCUAACUCCGUGCCAGCAACCGCGGUAAUACGGAGGGCGCAAGCGUUACUCGGAAUCACUGGGCGUAAAGAGCGUGUAGGCGGAUUAAAAAGUCAGAAGUGAGAUCCUAUAGCUUAACUAUAGAACUGCUUCUGAAACUCUUAAUCUAGAAUAUGGGAGAGGUAGAUGGAAUUUCUGGUGUAGGGGUAAAAUCCGUAGAGAUCAGAAGGAAUACCGAUUGCGAAGGCGAUCUACUAGAACAUUAUUGACGCUGAGACGCGAAAGCGUGGGGAGCAAACAGGAUUAGAUACCCUCGUAGUC
RNAcentral lists this ribosomal RNA (439 nucleotides) under uncultured bacterium. RNAcentral's name for it is "partial 16S ribosomal RNA". It matches the Rfam family "Bacterial small subunit ribosomal RNA", at positions 339 to 795 of the family's 1533-position model. The record is from RNAcentral.